GCGGAUGUGGCGUAAUUGGUAGCCGCGCUAGACUUAGGAUCUAGUUCCUUCGGGAGUGGGGGUUCGAGUCCCUUCAUCCGCACCA
This 85-nucleotide transfer RNA is filed under the name Bacteroidales bacterium. RNAcentral's name for it is "tRNA-Leu". It matches the Rfam family "tRNA". Rfam says of the family: Transfer RNA (tRNA) molecules are approximately 80 nucleotides in length. Their secondary structure includes four short double-helical elements and three loops (D, anti-codon, and T loops). Lineage: Bacteria; Pseudomonadati; Bacteroidota; Bacteroidia; Bacteroidales. The record is from RNAcentral.